CAGAAAAUUAGUUUGAAUUUUUAUUCAAGAAUGUUAUUUGAACCAAAAUGUAGAGUUAAAAACUUCAUAAAGUUUACAAAACAGUCAACAGGCACCAUUUGCUACAAAUAGUUAAAAAAAUAAUAGAGGGCACCCAAUAAAGGAGCUUGUUCAAUAAUAGCAACCACACAUUAGCUUGGAUAAUAUUCCUGGUCAUUUUGAAAACAAUUUUCGUUAUGCGGAGUUUUUGGAACACGUAGAAUUCCACUGAAACAUAAUUGUCACGUUUUAGAUUGCAUGCGAUUGUUAUCGAAAUACAAUUUCCACGAAAUAGAUUUUAUCUAUUUUUCGUGUAGUUCUUCUUAAAACUUCUUUAUCAGUUAUUUUAAUCAUGAAAUUACUAGAUUUUGUCGUAUCGGUGUAUCAAUAUAAAAGGAAAGAAUUGUACUUAUUGAAUACUUAUUUAGUAUCUGCACAGUUUAGAAAAGCGAAAAAUAUGACUUUUAAUAAAGUAGUUCUCUUACUCGUUUUACUUGUCCUGCUAGUCCAAUCACAGGCUGAUGAAGGUUCAGACUUUUUUAAGCGGAGUA
This is a non-coding RNA of Parasteatoda tepidariorum (common house spider), 569 nucleotides long. The record is from RefSeq and is a predicted model, not a curated record. Lineage: Eukaryota; Metazoa; Arthropoda; Arachnida; Araneae; Theridiidae.